CAGGAGGAUCUUGACUUUCUCAGCGAAUGGGCACAAAAUGGGAACUUGCCUUCAACGUUGACAAUUGCAAAGUUAUACAUUAUGGAAACAAUAACCCCAAUCAACAAUAUACUAUGAAUAAUAAGUCUCUGCAGGCUACAACUGAGGAAUGUGAUCUGGGAGUGCUCUUCGAAAGAGAUCUAAAAUUUAGUAAGCAUAUAUCUACAAAGAUAAAUAAAGCAAACAGUAUCCUAGCCUUAAUAAAGAGAUCUUUUGAGUUCAUGGACAAAUACUUAUUUUUGAAAUUAUAUACUGCCUUGGUGCGUCCGCAUGUUGAGUUUGCAAAUGUUAUAUGGUACCCAUAUUUAAAAAAGGACAUUAUUAGCAUAGAAAAAGUUAAAAAAAGAGCAACAAAACUUGUACCGAAUUUGAGGAAUUUAUCCUAUGAGGAACGACUUAAAGAACUAAAAUUACCAUCACUUGUUCAUCGCAGAAUUCGUGGGGAUGCCAUUCAAACAUUUAAAAUAGUCAAAAAUAUAGAUGAUUGCGUUUUUGAGAAUUUUUUCAAUUAUACAUCAUCAACUAGAGGACAUAACCUAAAGCUUGAGAAACCAAAGUCCAGAACAUCUUUUUGUCAAAAUCAAUUUUUCAGAAGAGUGAUUAACAUGUGGAAUGACUUGCAUCAAUGUGUAAUUGAUGCCAAGAAUGUAUUAGAAUUCAAGAGCAGGAUUGAUCUACAUUGGAAUGGGAACAUAGUGUAUAAGUUUUAGUGAUCACAACUGUUGUUUGUCAAAAGGACAUUCAUUCUUUACCAUAGUUAAGGAACUAUUAUUUACUGAAUAAGGGCUACUUUUAUUAGUCGUGAGAACACAUACGGAUACAGUACCAUAAGACGUCGAUAAGAAGAGGGGUUUAAAAAGGACUUGAGUCCUUACCACAGAGCCCAAAAUCAUCCUACAGGUAUCCUACAGGUUUUGGCAAAAGUGACACGAAAAGGUGCAGCGGAUAGAAAGACAACAUGGCCCGCUCAGACAGUGAUGGGUCACCAAGCUAUCGAUCCAGGAAAUACUGUCAAUCCUCUUUUGAUGAUUCCAACCAGAGGUCACCAAAAAGGAAACAUUCAAGGUCAUAUUCGUGGUCACCAGACAGAAAUGAUAAGAACUCAUCAAAUAGUGGUAAAAGAUUCAGAGACAGUACUUCUUCAGAUAGUAGAUCAAAGUCAAGGUCACCAAUUCGUCGUAGAAAAGAUUUUUCUGGAUCUUGUGAAAGAGACUCAAAACGCAUGGACAGAAACACUAAAAUCAGUGAUAGAUCGUAUUCAAGGUCCAAAAGUAGAUCACCUAUAGCCAGAAAUAGGUCACCUGUGCAAAGAACAAGGUCACCUGUUCAAAGAAAUAGGUCACCAGCUUGGAAUGACAGGAUGAAGUCACCAAUACAGAAAGGUCGUGAGUCAAAUGAAGAUCAGGUGUGGAGAAAAAAUAAUGAAAAUGGGUAUACUGGGAGACAUAAAGACAGAGAGUUACAGUAUGACGUUUUUGAAAGACGAAGGACAGACAGGGAGAGGAUUUGCGCACUGGGAGCCCCUGAAGUCUGGGGCAGAUCCCCAUCACCACAACACUCAGAAGUCUACGUGUGCAUAUGAUGGCUGUGUGGAAGGUCAUGUGUUUUACAUUUUAUUUCAAAGCAAGAUGUUUCCUUUUAUCUGAAUAUACAGUGCAAUAUUGUGACAAAAAAAAAACUUUGGGGAGCAUCACCCAUCACCGACGGUUUCUUGUUUUUUAAUGGUGUAACUUUUCAGGGCUUUUUCUCGAAUUCUAUACAGGAUUUUAACAUGAACCUUUAUGCGGAGAAUUACAAUUUAUAAAAGCAAUAACACUUCACUCUGUUAUUUUGCAUUUAUUGCCCUGUUAAUCCAUCUGCAACCAUGAAUAAACACAUUUUUCUCUGUGGGGAAUAUCAAUUCAACGAAUUUUUUUUUAGCUCAUCAAUUUUUUGAAGAAAAAAAGUUAUGUAACUCUGGCUGGCAUUUUGACAGAAUUAUGUGUCCUUUUUAUUACUGUCUUUGAAAAUUUGGUUAAGUUUUGUGUUUUGGUCCACUUUACUCCUAAAGUAUCAUAGAUAUUGCUUUCAUACUUGGAACACUCGCAAACUAGCAAAAGGGGACAGUUCAGGACAAGUUGAAUAGCUCUGGUUGUCAUUUUGACGGAAUUAUGGCCCUUUUUUGACUUAGUAACUUUCAAUAUAUGGUUAAAUUUUGUGUUUAGAUCCACUUUACUUUUAAAGUAUCAAGGCUAUUGCCCUCAAACUUCAAAUACUUUCAUGCUAUCAUGAGGGUACUGUACUGGCAAGUUGAAUUUUAGCUUGACCUUUGAAUGAUCUUGACUCUCAAGGUAAAAUUAUUAAAUUUUGCUAAAAUUGCCAUAACUUCUUUAUUUAUGAUCUGAUUUGAUUGAUACUUUGACAAAACAACUCGUACCUGACAAUCCACAAUAGACUCCACCCAAACCAUCCCCCACACCCCA
Molecule: RNA transcript, 2501 nt
Organism: Dreissena polymorpha
Lineage: Eukaryota; Metazoa; Mollusca; Bivalvia; Myida; Dreissenidae
Gene name: serine/threonine-protein kinase PRP4 homolog
Exons: 5
Source: RefSeq, a predicted model, not a curated record